AAACAGUGAACCAGAGAAGGAUGGCCAGGGACAACAAAGAUUGGAGCUCGGAAGUUGAAUGACAGAUAUUCUGGAGAAACACACCAGAGAUGACAAAAGAAGGACCCUUCUUUGAAUGAAACAAUAAGAUUCAUAUAAGCAACAGGUCUGAGCUGAGGUGUCAUCUCUGAACACCAGGCUGCUGCACUAACCAGAAGACCCCUCCCCCCCCUGCAGUGGCCUCGCUGCAUCGUAAGGACGGAGGAGCUGUUGUCUCCACAGCUGACAGUUCUAGAAACUGAGAAAAUCAAGAUAAAGAUGCCAGCAGACUCGAGGCCGGGU
Molecule: long non-coding RNA, 321 nt
Filed under: Pan troglodytes (chimpanzee)
Lineage: Eukaryota; Metazoa; Chordata; Mammalia; Primates; Hominidae
Description: long non-coding RNA NONPTRT006908
Source: RNAcentral